AGUGAACGCUGGCGGUAGGCCUAACACAUGCAAGUCGAACGGCAGCACAGUAAGAGCUUGCUCUUACGGGUGGCGAGUGGCGGACGGGUGAGGAAUACAUCGGAAUCUACUUUUUCGUGGGGGAUAACGUAGGGAAACUUACGCUAAUACCGCAUACGACCUACGGGUGAAAGCAGGGGAUCUUCGGACCUUGCGCGAUUGAAUGAGCCGAUGUCGGAUUAGCUAGUUGGCGGGGUAAAGGCCCACCAAGGCGACGAUCCGUAGCUGGUCUGAGAGGAUGAUCAGCCACACUGGAACUGAGACACGGUCCAGACUCCUACGGGAGGCAGCAGUGGGGAAUAUUGGACAAUGGGCGCAAGCCUGAUCCAGGCAUACCGCGUGGGUGAAGAAGGCCUUCGGGUUGUAAAGCCCUUUUGUUGGGAAAGAAAAGCAGCAGGUUAAUACCCCGCUGUUCUGACGGUACCCAAAGAAUAAGCACCGGCUAACUUCGUG
Molecule: ribosomal RNA, 492 nt
Filed under: uncultured bacterium
Lineage: Bacteria
Description: partial 16S ribosomal RNA
Rfam family: Bacterial small subunit ribosomal RNA
Source: RNAcentral